AUGACCUCGGGGCCUCGCCGGCUGUUUUUGCUCCAGGAGAUCUUACGGGAUCCUGGUCAUUUUUGUAUAUCCGGGAUGACCUCAGGGCCUCGCCGGUUGUUUUUGCUCCAGGAGAUCUUACGGGAUCCUGAUCAUUUUUGUAUUUCCGGGAUGACCUCGGGGCCUCGCCGGUUGUUUUUGCUCCAGGAGAUCUUACGGGAUUCUGGUCAUUUUUAUAUUUCCGGGAUGACCUCGGGGCCUCGCCGGCUGUUUUU
RNAcentral lists this long non-coding RNA (254 nucleotides) under Manihot esculenta (cassava). Its description in RNAcentral is "long non-coding RNA (MESC_LNC009457)". Lineage: Eukaryota; Viridiplantae; Streptophyta; Magnoliopsida; Malpighiales; Euphorbiaceae. The record is from RNAcentral.